AGUGUUUCUGUAACAAAAUUAACUCUUCUUUUCAGUACUUUAAUAAGAAUUAUUGUGCCAGUAAGCACUCAAAUUAGAAACGUAUAUAAUUAAUGAACUUCUUACAAAGAUCAGCUUGUAAUACCCGGACACACCUGGGCAAUCAGUAGUUCUGUUGAUUAUGGUGGAUACCCCAACAAGACAGUGGACGGAGACGUCAGUCAAAAUUCCUAUACAUACUGCAUGCAUACAGCUGGUUAUGAAAGUGAGGCUUGGCUAAUGAUUGACCUAGGAAAAAUUGACAUCAUCAAAUCAGUUAAGUUUUGGUAUAGAAAUGACUCUAACGUACCAGGGUAUAAUACGAGACGAAUACAAGGGUUUAAUAUCCGUCUAUCAAAUACAACUCAGACUGACCGGCAGGACAUUUGUUAUCAAGAUGAUGGAAAGACAAUCCUGCCUCCAAUUAUAGAACAACAAUGUAAAGGAGUAGCCCAGUUUGUUUGGAUUUACACAAAUAAAACGUUUAUUGAUGGCGCAGUCCUUGAAAUAUGUGAAGUGCAGGUUUAUGGUAAGCUAUUUGUUACAUUGUAAAAACUGUCUGAGCUGAUAUUGCUUGAUAUCGCAUUACCCAAUACUUAUUUCAUUUAGAUUUUAAGAACUCAAUCAUCACCUUUCGUUGCAUGUUGACUGAAAUACAUGUAGGUUGAACAGUAUGUUUGUGAACAAUAUGUUGGUGAAUUCAUUUAUGUUCAUUUUUUUUAUUUUUAUGCCCCCGUAAACGAAGUUUCGGGUUGAUGUCGUGAUGUAGGUUUUGUCGUGUCUGUCCGUCCGACUGUAUGUCUAGCUGUCUCUCUGUCUGUACAUGUUUCAUUGUCUAUUUGUCGGCAAAAACUUUAACCUUGCCCAUAACUUUUGAUUUAGUGGAGCUGUGACUUUCAUAUUUUACAUAUGUAAUCCUUGAUACACGUGCUUUCCUUGGGUACCACUAAAUUUGACCUUGAUUUUGGGGUUUGACCCACUUUUACACAGAAAUUCAAAACUUUUACUUUAGCCAUAUCGUUUGAACAGUAGAAACCAGACCAUGUAUACUUCACAGCUGUAUUUUUGUUGAGAAACCUUUCAUUGGAUGCCAACAAUUUUGAUCUGUUGACCUUGACCUUGGAGAUUUCCGUACUUGUGAAAAAACUUUAACCUUGAACAUAACUUUUGAACGGUAAAAGAUAGGGCUUUCAUACUUCAAAUAUUUCCUGUUUUUACCUGAUCUUGACAAGGAGCACACGGCGGGUGUGACCGGUCAACAGGGGAUGCUCACUCCUCCAUGGCACCUAAUACCACCUCUGAUAUUAUAGAGAUCCGUGUUUGCUCUGCUCCUAAUUUGUAUUGAUUAAUGGACUUUGAGAUUGAAUAUUGUUCGUUAUCUCCAUAUCUUUAUAUGUUAUCUUUGUGAAAAUACCUUUCAAUGGACCCACAAUAACUUUGACCAUUUGACCUUGGAGUUUGAACUACUUUCAAAAACCAAACCUUAACCGUAAUUUUAAAAGGGUAAGGGCUAGUGCUUUCAUUCUUUACAUAUUUCAUGCUUGUGACAAGACCUUUCGUUUGAAUGCCAGACCUUUGAGCCUUUGACCUUGGAGUUUGACCUACUUUUCAAAUUUUUCACCUCUGCUUAAGUUCUGAACGGUUAAGACCAGGGUUUCAAUGCUUUAGAUAUGUAUUCUAUGUGGCAUGACCUUUCAUUCGAUACCAAUUACCUUGACUUUUUAACUUUGACCUUGGAAAUUUUUGCACUUAUGAAAAAAAAAAUUAAUCUUGGCCAUAGCUUUUUAAAUUAAGGGCUAGUGAUAUCAUACUUCACUUAUGUAAUUCUUGUAAAGAGACCCUUCAUUUGAUACCAAGAACUUUGAUCCUUUGACCUUGGAGUUUUACUUAUUUUUAAAAUGUAAACCUUGACCAUUAUUUUUGAAGGGUAAGACCUCGUACUUUUUUACUUUACAUAUUUAAUCUUUGUAAAAGUACUUUCAUUUGAUAGCAAGAUCUUUGAUCUUGACCUCGGGGUUGACCUACGUUUUAAAAUCUUUAACUUUGACCAUAACUUCUAAAUUGUAAGGGCUAGGGCUUCCAUAUUUUACAUAUGUAAUUUUUGUGGCAAGACCUUUCAUUGGAUAACAAUGACCUUGAAGAUAUCUGAACCUUGGCCUACUUUCAUAAUUCAUAAUUGUAUUCUCAGUGAUUAUACCCUACUUUUGGUACCAAUAUAUUAAAUUUCCAUUUAAGAAAGGUUUAAUCUUUGCUAUGUUGCCUUACAAGGGCAUUAGUGUUUCACCAACACACCUUGUUUAUCUUAAAUAUGAUAGUUAGAUUUUUCCCGGCAUUGUUGUUUAAUUCAAAUGUCCUUAAGCGCCAAUUUAAUGUUAUGAUGUUGAACAUUUGCAAUUUAUGUUGUUAUUAAUGUUAUGAUGUUAAACAUUUGCAAUUUAUGUUGUUAUUCCUUUCGCUUGUCAAAUAUGCACACAUUCACACAACUGGAAAAAAAACUAUAGUAAAUGCUCCCUCUACACCUUCGUAGACUGAGAAGGAUUUUUUUUAAAUGUGCGUAUAUUUGAUUGACACAAGUAAUUGAUAAGUAUAAAUUAAAGAUAUUCUAUUCGAAUGUACCAGAGCAAUACGACCAUUUAACUGAGUUUUUUGGGGGGAAAUUUUGUGUGAUUUUCCUUAGACUAAUUUGUAUGAGUAGCAAUUGACAGUGGGAAAUGCCCCCCCCCCCCCC
Saccostrea cuccullata (small rock oyster) is the source of this 2746-nucleotide long non-coding RNA. RefSeq lists it as uncharacterized. NCBI's taxonomy places the organism in Eukaryota, Metazoa, Mollusca, Bivalvia, Ostreida, Ostreidae. The transcript is spliced from 3 exons. The record is from RefSeq and is a predicted model, not a curated record.